Long non-coding RNA from Cydia pomonella (codling moth), 506 nucleotides. RefSeq lists it as uncharacterized. The transcript has 4 exons. NCBI's taxonomy places the organism in Eukaryota, Metazoa, Arthropoda, Insecta, Lepidoptera, Tortricidae. The record is from RefSeq and is a predicted model, not a curated record.
AUACGGUUUCUUUGGCUGUUCCCAGCUUCAUCUUCUUGAUUCCCGCUUCACCGUGCACUCCCGCGCCUAGUUCCAUCUCAUCAUCAGCUAUCUCGAACAGCGGCAGUUGACCUGAGUUUCAAAACGGAGUAAAUUGCAUGAGCACGUGCCCCGUGGGUGGCGAAGCGAACACGCCGCCUGCCACCGCACCGUCCAGCAUGCCGCCUCCAACCAGACCUGGAAACGAAUUCCUACUAAAUCAGCAACCACAACACCAUAAUUGGCGUCGGUGGCGACAGUCACCCACUCGCCCAAUUCCUGUCGCUGAAUGACCGCAUGUGACGACCCCUGCCGAAGGUUGUUGCGAGGGUUCGCAGCCACCUAAAAAGCGUGGCCACAUAGUGGAUAUACUCGUUGGUGAGCCCCGAAACGACGACUCGGCGUGGCAGGCCGAGACGUUCCAUGGCGUUACCGACUACGUCGCGUAUGCGGCGCCCAGACAUGGUGGUAGGCUCGCCAGGCACGCC